This 407-nucleotide ribosomal RNA is filed under the name uncultured bacterium. RNAcentral describes it as "bacterial SSU rRNA". It matches the Rfam family "Bacterial small subunit ribosomal RNA", at positions 355 to 776 of the family's 1533-position model. RNAcentral also lists the same sequence under 2 other names. The record is from RNAcentral.
UGGGGGAUAUUGCACAAUGGGCGAAAGCCUGAUGCAGCAAUGCCGCGUGAGGGAAGAAGGUUUUCGGAUUGUAAACCUCUGUCCCUGAUGACGAAGACAGUGACGGUAAUCAGGGAGGAAGCCACGGCUAACUACGUGCCAGCAGCCGCGGUAAUACGUAGGUGGCAAGCGUUGUCCGGAAUUACUGGGUGUAAAGGGAGCGCAGGCGGGAAGGCAAGUCAGCGGUGAAAACUAUGGGCUCAACCCAUAGACUGCCGUUGAAACUGUUUUUCUUGAGUGAAGUAGAGGCAGGCGGAAUUCCGAGUGUAGCGGUGAAAUGCGUAGAUAUUCGGAGGAACACCAGUGGCGAAGGCGGCCUGCUGGGCUUUUACUGACGCUGAGGCUCGAAAGUGUGGGGAGCAAACAGG